ACACAUCACCUUGAAGCACCAGUUCCCGUAGGAUCAUUUAAGUUAAGUAACGCCGAGCCUGGUCAGUACCUAGAUGGGUAACUACUUGUGAAUACCAGGUGCUGUAA
Acanthosepion pharaonis is the source of this 107-nucleotide non-coding RNA. The record is from the annotation of a GenBank genome assembly. NCBI's taxonomy places the organism in Eukaryota, Metazoa, Mollusca, Cephalopoda, Sepiida, Sepiidae.